GUAUGUUGCCUGUUAGUCUAGGGUACAAACUAGCUCUACAAUAUUUUACCUGGACUAUCAUCCUCAAAAGCACUCCAUACGUCCUCUUUUGUAGUUGGAAGGUUCUAUAGUUUUUUUCCAUCCAUAAAUGAUAGAAAAUGGAUGCCAAACUAAUUCUCAAGAUUUCAGUUGUUGUACUCUUAGCUUUUACAUGUGUUAUAGCCCAACUUAUUCUUCAUUCCACCCCAAGUUGCUUCUGUGUGACUUUUCAUGCCAAAACUUUCUUUCAUACACUUGUGGACACAAGAAAGGUGAAAAACAAAUGAUGGUAACUCUCAGGUGCUUCCUCACAUAGUGCGCAGACCAAGUUUGUAUGAAUGCCCCAUUUAUCCAAUCUGUCCUUAGUAGACAAUCUCCCAUUAAUUGAUAGAAACAAGAUGAAUUUCCAUUUGUUAUUUUCUUGAUUGUUACAAAUAAGUUUUUUUCAUUCCAUAUUAGGGUACUGACCCCUAAGUUGAGUAUACAUGCUCUUAAUAGAGAAAGAUUCAGCUGUCAUAAUUGCUUCAACAUCUAGUCCUGGUUCUUAUAACUACUUUCCUGCUGCCAUGAUUGUCUAAAUUAUCCAGGAUGCCUGGUUUAUUACUACAUCCCAAGGUUUUCUACCCUUCAAGUAAUAUAUAUGGUCUCAUCUAACCCAAAGCCUGUCCUAUUUUUAGUUCAAGUUCUAUAGAUAUUUUAGAAUGGCUGCUUUGUUCCACAGGUUAAGAUCGGUUAUGUUAAGGCCACCUGUUGAUUUUGGUCUACAUAAUACAUCCUAAGCAAUGAUUGUUUUUCCUUUUGAUUGAAUGUCUCAAUUCCAUAAGAAUUUUCUACACGUUGCUUCCACUUGCUUUAUACAUUCUUAGGGAUAUGGAAGAUUUGGGACUAGAAAGAUUGAAUGUCAGUUAGAACACUAAUGAUCAGUUGCAGUCUUCCUAUGUAAGAAAGAAAAUUGUACUGUCCAACUAGUUAUUUUUCCAGUCAUUUUAUCUAUCAAAGGCUGACAUUGGCCAUUGAUAAUUUCUUUGUGCUCAAAGGUACCCCUAGGUACCUAAAUAGAAGUUAGCCAAGUGAGAAGCCUAGUUUGGGCAGGAUUACUUGAUGAGUAUUAACUGCAACCCCACCAAAGUAUAUGCUGCUUUUUGCUUGAUUUGCUAUCAAACCUGAGACUGCAGAAAAUUUCUUGAAACACUCAUAUAGAAAACAAGCAAAUAUUUCAUCCCGUCCACAAAAUAGAAAAAGAUCAUCUACAAAGCUUGUCUAAAUUAUGUUCAGCUUUUGACUCCUUGGAUGAAAAUUAAAAUCAGGUUGUCUUCUAUGUGUUUUCAGCAAUCUAGUCAUAUAAUCCACACUCAGAAUUAAUAGGUAUGGUUACAACGGAUCUCCUUGUCUUACUCCUCUUUUAGAUUUAAAUGGGGUUAAUGGUACUCUAUUCAUAAUAAUGGAAUAAGACACAGUCUUCACACAACACAUCAGUCAUUGCACAACUCUUCCUAGAAAGUUCAAACUAAGCAACACCUCCUCUAAGAAAGGCCAUUUCAGAGAUUAAUGUUCCUUUUGCAUGUCUAUCUUGAUCAUGCAUCUAGGUAAAAUGCCUUUCCUUUCAUAUCCCUUCACCAGUUCAUGACUAAGUAGCACAUUAUCAGUCAAUAUUCUACUAGGAACAAAGACAGUCUGACUAGCAUCCACUAGGUAGUCCAUUACAUGUUUCAGUUUAUGAGUUAGCAUUUUGGAAAUGAUUUUGUAAAGUGUAGAGAAACAAGAUAUAGGUCUAUAUUGCUUGAUAAAACUAGGGUGUUGAAUCUGUGGAAUCAGGGUCACAGAGGUAGUAUUAAUAGGCUUAUACAUUUCUCCAAUUUCAAAGAAAUCCAACACAAUAUUUAUUACCUCUCCUCUACUAAUUGGCCAAACUCAUUUGAUAAAAUAGGAGUUGAAACCAUCACCCCCCCCCCCGAUGGGUCUUUAUUAUCAUCAAUAUCUUAUAGUGCAUUAGUGAAAUCUACAGCAGUAAAAGGUUGAAUAAGUUGGAGUUGUCGGUCCAUCCUUGAUCGCUUCAGGGUGUAUAAUUCCUAGGAAUAUAGUGGCUUUUCCUAGAAAAUCUUUAUGAAAGCCCAUAACUCUCUUGUAAUCUCUUUUGUAUCUCUUACUAUAGAACCAUUCUCUACCUGCAAUAUUUUAAUUUGAUUUUGGCUCCUUCUCCCUUUUAUACUUUCAAAGAAAUCGGAUAUAUUAGAAUCACCCAGCUUAAGCCAUUGGACCCCAGACUUUUUCCUAUAUAUACUCUUUUCAAUCAAGCUCCAUUUGUUAUGUUGAAACCUAAGUUCCUUCUCUUAUUUUACAAGAUCAUAGGAUACAGGAGCUUGUCUCAUAAGACUUUGCUUAGCCAGGAGCUCUGUUCUAAGAUUUUGCGCCCUUGUAGUAACAUUCAGGUACUCAUUUUUAUUCAACAGUUGUAUUUCAUAUCUCAUGCUUUUCAGGUUUUCCAAAUGCCCUUCAUUCCGGAACCUUUGAUCAUUCAAUUUGUAUUAACUCUUGUUUGAAAUUCAGAAUGUUAUGCUAGACAGUUAUAGAAUUUAAAAGGAUUCUUCCUUACAUAUGUUUGCUCUUCUAGGUUAAUGCUUAGAGGUGAAUGGUAUAAAAACAUAGAGUCCAUUGCUAGUACUUGCACUGCAGGCAUUGCUACCAGCCAUGGGGUAUUGACUAUGGCAUUGUUAAUCCUAUUGUAAACAUGUCCAUUGGUCCAUGUAUAAGAUCUCCCUACAACUGGAAGUUCUAAUAAAUGACAGUCUUUCAUUAAGCUUCUUGAAAUCUCUUGUUUUAUACUCUUGAACUUGACUACCAACCUAUAUAUAUUCCAAGGAUAAUAUAGAAUUGGAAUAUCCCAUGAUAAGCCAUGGCUCCCUGAUGUUUGUGUCUAACUUUUUUAAGGUACACCACAGUGGUGUUCUUGUUUCAAUUGUGUACAACCCAUAUAUUAUAGUAAACUGAAUUUUCCUUUCAAUCUCUAGGUUGUAAACCUCUCCAUGGAUAUGCUAAGUUGAAAUCUCUACUUGUUGAAAAACUACCUCAUUAGGAUCCCAGAUAACCCAUAACCUUCCUCUUAUAUUUGUAGAAGCAUUUAUAGACCAUCUCCACCUAGGCAACAACUUAUUAAGUAAUCUAUCAUCUAUAUUAUUUUGAACUCUAUGUUCACUAAUUGCAAUAACAGAAACUUUAUUCUUUCUCAAAAAGAUCUUUAUUUUCUUCUGUUUCACCACUUAGUUAAAGCCCCCUUACAUUCCAUGUGACUAACAUACUUGAAGGGGAAGUGUAUGUGGAAAGAAAUCCUCCACAUCCACACCACUACUUUCUGUAGACACGUAAUUUUAUUCCUUUCGAAAGUUGAAUUUACUUAUUUACCCUACCUUACCAACCAUGUACCUUACCCCAUGUGAUUAUUCUUCCACAAAAAGACAAAAAUAACAAAAUUCUUAACAAACUAACACCCCAUCAAUCAAAUAUAACCACCUCACCCUAACAAAAAUAACAACUUCCUACCCCACCCUCUACUCCUAUCCCUCACCCCUACCCUCACAUACCAUACCCCAUAUGUUUUAUUUUACUUUUCAACAAUAUUAUAAUACAAUACCCAUAUACGCACUACACUCUGAAUACAAACAAAACACAUAAUUUACACACACUACACACAAACACAAAAUGAGAAAAAAAAAACAAGGAGAAAAGUGGCGAAUAAGGGAGAAAAUAGAGAAAGAGAAGAGUGAUGAGAGAGAGACGCGAGAAAAAGGGAGAUCGAGAGAGAGAGGGAAAGAAUGAACAAGCGCGUGACUAUUUUUUGUGAGUUCUCAUCAGAAAUCCGCCAAAUUAGCUAUCGGAACACACCUGAUGUUACUGUUAUGGUCAAUUCUUGUCAGGGAACAUCGCUGGAAUUGACAUCCCCCAUCGAAUCCGACCACCCGCAGGCCAAAAAUUCCCGAAUCCUUAUUUGUUUCAGUUGAUCCAGCAAAAUCUCACUGGGAAACAUCAUAUUGUUGGUUUCUGGGGUCCUUCAAAGCUACGACAUAGCGAGACACCGCUGCAAAAAUCACGACCAGUCAAUCUCGGUGCCAAAAUGCAUAGGAAAAAUAAUCGAGUUGGAUAAAACUGAGUUUGGGGUUGAAAUCGGUGAUUUGGUUUGAAUCAAGGUUCUUGGCGUGGACUUGAUCUCGUUUAAUCGAAUAAUACUUGAUUGAAAGAGACAUUAAGGUUCAUUUCUCAUUCCUUUCUUGAUUAAUUUUAAAUUUUAAUACUUUUUGCGGAGAAUUGAUAAUGUGUGGAUCUUGCUUUAUUUGAUUUAGUGUUGUUUGGAUCAUUAAUGUUGAUUAAUUGGUCACUUGAAUAGGUUAAUUAAAUAAUGCAAACCCGUUUGGGUAAAUAAAAUUGGGAUGGGAAUUAUAAAAGUGAAUAUUAUUGUGCUUUGAGUCCUCUAUUGUUGUUGGAUUUAAAAUAGAUGUUAAUUCUGUCUAACUCGGUAGUAUCAUGUUUUAGGCCGAGAAUCAAUAGGAAAAUUGUAGGUCUUAGGAUAGACAACUUGUAGGAUUCUAUACCAUCAAAUGCGUAAUGUCUAUGUUGAGUGAUUUCGAUACCUUUGUAUCGCACUUCAUCAAAAUGAAAUAUCCCGAGGUCACAUUGUACUUAUUCAUCGGGGAAUGCUCAAAGUAUCAUGUACGCGAGGGAUGUUCGUGAUCAAGGCCCAAGACAUAAGGUAGAGCAUAGUUAGGAUUAGUAUAGGUUAGUGUACGUUUAUAUUUCAGAACUUUUUAUUUCAGACAGUAAUAAUUGGACUGGACACUAUAUUUUUGUAUGUUUGUUUAUUUUGUUUUGUGCGUGUUUUAUUGAGGUUUAUACAUUUCAUAGUAUCGUGCUAGUCGAUAUAGUUCAUGAAGUGACCAUGGUUAAACCACGGGAUCGAGGGAUGUCUAAUACCUUCCUCUCGGUCAACAGAAUUCCUUAACCAAAAUCUCUGUUCAUGGAUCAGUUUUGAAAGAGUCAACAAUUAUUUUGAGAAAGCUGACUUGGCACACCUGAUUUAUGACAAGUGGAAACUCUGAAUUUUGAUUGUUAAAGGUCCUUUUCGAAAUAAAUUAUUUUCUUUUGUCACUUAAUAAUAAAACCCUUUUCAAACUUAAAAUGAAUCUUUUUUGGGUAAAAGGGGGUGUGGCACAUCCUUAUCCAAUUUCAAAGGAAUUACUACAGCUUGGCCUUGAAAAUGUAUCUGGAAUGUUAACUGGACUCUUUCCAGCUGAAGUAGCCUGGAUAGUUUGCCAUUCUUUUAUUGUAUUGAUUGCAGCUUCUCUUUGUUCCUUAGUUUAGUUCAUUGCCUUGGACUUAUGAUUGAGUAUUUUUUUCUCUAAUUCCUCUUUGAUCUUCCAUUCCUUCUUCUAUUUUUGUCUUUGUGUCUUUGUAGGUCCUUGAUUCUUCAUUGAUGGAGGGUUUAUUUUACAGGUGUGCCCUACCUAUAAAUAUUUGUCACAAUAUAGAGGUUUCUAAUCAUACCAGAUUUGCUGCUUUAUGAGCCUACCUUUAGGAUCCUGAUUUUUUAUAGCUCUGGGGAGUGGUAUGGUGAUAUCUACAUCUGCCAAAAUAUGAGCAAAUGAUAUCCUGCUAGCCUAAUUUGCACACUCUUAUUCAUACAAAGGUUUUUCGAAGGUACUUUCUAUUUUACUUAGCACUACAGUAUUCCAACAAUUCAAGGACGGGUUAGGUGGCUUAAUCCAUAAAGAAAUAGUAAUUAGGAUUUCCUUACUGAAGUUGAACUCCAUUGUCCAAAGCUUAAUAAUGACUGGUCUUUUGAGUAAAUAGUGUGGUCUGGAGCAUAGAACUACACCCCUUUCAUCCUCAUUCACAAAUCUGACAAUAAAAUAUCCAUCUGUGUGAUAUAACACCACUGGUUUACUAGUAAAGAUCCCCUGUGCUAGGAUAAACCUUUCCAUAGCACCUAUAGAAGGACUAAUUCCCACAACAUACACCACAAUAGUGUAACACCCCGCACUUUUGAGCUAACAUUGAACCAUCUUUCCUACAUUUAUAAACCCAAACCCAAUGGUUUCUAUCUAAAUAUAAGAGUGAAUAAAAUUUAUUUAGUGUGGGAACAUCCUUGUAGAUGAAUAUACGUUGUAAAAAUCUCCUAUCUCAAAAGUUAAGUUGAGCAUUUUCCUAUCAAUUGACUUUUAGUUGAUGAUUUUGCAUGGGUCGAAUUCCAGCGACCUUUUCUCUUUGUAUAUAGAGAGUUAUGUGGCCUACUAUAUAUCAACUUAAAGCUCUUCGAGUCUUCUUUCUAAUGCCACGGGCAUUUGUCAAUCCGAGUUCGAAGUCAAAAGUUAUGAGUGUUUGAAUAAGACACUGUCCAGGGUAUGCGAUGGCCAUGCACCGCACAGCAAUCUCCAAAGCAUACUGCCUCAGCCGUGCAAUGUCCAUGCGAUGCAAACCUUAAGGUUUUCUUUGUCCAUGCAACACAUAGCCUAUUUGGGGCAUCAAAAGUGUUUCGUUUGAUUUAUUUUAAAGGCAUAAAGGUCUUUUAUUAUCCCAUAACCACUCCUAACCCCGUUUGGAUGAAAACUAAACCUUAAACACAUUAUUUUCUCUUCUAAAAUCCCCAAAUCAUCUUCCCUAAAUCAAAGGGGAGAAACUACCUAGGGUUAAGGAAUUCAAGCUUCGGAGGUCCAAUUUCUCUACGUUCUCUUCAAUUUUUUUCCAUCAAAAGGUAUGUGGAACUAUCCUAAAUUUUAUGGAUGUAAGUUUUAAAGUUUUUACAAGAUCUAAAGUAUAUAUGUACGCACAUAUUAUGAGAUUUGAGAUUGUUUUGAGAGCAUGCAUUAGGAACCCCGAUUUAAGAUGAAAUCUUGUUUAAACCAUGGGAGGUUUUCCUAAACUUGAAUUAUGCUCAUAUGUAUGGAUGUUAUGAGUAUGAAAAGUUAUAUGAACAAAUUAUUUAUGGAAUUCCCUCUCUUGUUAUGAAACCCAUUGUCUUAACAAUUUUGAAGAUAGUUUACACGAAUAGUUAAAAGUUUGAGUUUAAAUAUUUUGCUAAUCUUUAUGGAUUGUUAUUUUUUUAUUAACGAAUGAGAGAGGUUUUUCCUGAUUUACAAAUUUUCAUAUUUCCUAAUAAAGAAUUUGCAUGUGAUUGAUGGAAGAUAUGACCACCGUAUGAUAAAAUAUUGAAAAGAGAGUAGUUUUCAUAAUUUUUCAUGUAUUUUGAAACAAGCACUCUCAAGUGAUGUUUAAAUCUUUUGGAUGGUCACUAACGUCUUUUAAAUUAGAAGGUCAGGACUAUAAUGUGUUAUGAAAUGAAGGACUUGCAAUUCUGGGUAUGACGAUACCCUGUUAUGAUGUUCCCUAAACAGAAUAAGAAAGGAACUAUUUAUAAGAAGAGAGUAUUGAGUUUAAGAGUCUAAAAUUAGGUUUAAAGAGAGUUAGAUGGUUACCCGAAGAAGGCACGAGUUCAGAUAAUUCAUUACCCAAAACUGUGUUUAGCUUAUACGGGUUUUAUUUUUCCCUAACAUAGGGGAUUGUACGUUGUCAAUGACAUUGUGUCAUAAUAGAAAGCAGAGACUCCAGCCCUUGCAGAAAACUUGGGUUGAGGUCUUGACUGUUGAGUUAAGGGCAGAUUCCAUAUAUCCCAUGAAAUUACAGAAUUGUAGGGUGUACCAUCUAGCUCAGAAGUAGAAUAAAGAGUUGAGUCAUGAUUACAAGAAAAUAUUUUUAAGCUCAUCAAAUUAUGCCUAUGUGUUUUCAUUGACCUUAUGCUAAAUUGUUUAUUGAAAUGCUCUUACUUAUGUUAUAAAAAAAUAUGUUAUUUUUGAAUUAUUCUACAUACCAGUAUUUUUGAGUACUGACCCCCUAUAUUCAGGUUCUGAGGCCCAUUCCCGUGGUCCUGCAAACUGGUAGAUUAUUUUUCAGACUUUUAGAGAUUGAUGAGCCUCCCUUACAUCGGAAGACAUCCAUCCCAUGUGUUAUUUCAUUUUUAUGGUUGUUAUGGUCCUAUCGAAGGUCUUGUCCUGGUCUAGUCAGACUAUUAUUUUCAGUUUAGUAGAGGCUUCGUAAGUGGUUUUAGAUUGGAUUUAGGCUUUCCCUUUUAAUACAAUUUAUGAAGCUUUUAGUUUGAUUUUGGGACUACAGUGUUUUCAAUUUAUCUUUCCCAAAAUUAUAUCAUAUGAGUUAUGCUUAUGAUUACAUGUUAAGGGUCUCUCGAGCCUUCAUGGUUCGGGAUGCCUGUCGCAGCCAGGGCCUCGACUCGAGUCAUGACAACUAGCAGAUUUCCAUUUGGCCUCCUCUUUAGCUAUAUCUUCAGUAGAGAUUUCAACCACUUUCACCCCAUCAAUAACAGUAGGUGGAAUGAAGGUUAGAUCCAUACCUCUAGUGGCCAAUUUAUUGGUAGAAAAUAAAUUAAUCCAUGGUUUCUCAGUUGUCUUCUCUGACAAAUUGAGCUUUCUCAUAUUUUCCCCUACCUCAAGAACAUGUACUAUUUCAUUGGAUUUAUAUAGAUCUAGUCCUAAUUGAGCUGGAAUUUUGCUUUCUGCUCAUUUGGUAGGUAACUUAGUUUAGAUUGCACCUCUCAUUGCCUUUCUUGUGGAGAUUUCUCAUAUUUGAUCAUCGUUGCCGACGUAGUUUGUGGAGUUCUUAUCGAGGUUUUGAGCUUGUCCCCACUCACUGGCCGCAAGCCAUUUCCAGCUCGCUCAGAAAUGAUGCAGGAAAAAUGGUUGUUCACUAGUGAAGUUGUUGAUAUAUAGUAAUAGGGCCACUUCAUUAGCAAUAUACAGUAAAAGAUAAGGUGAAGGGGAACCAAUAAUAAUGGAAGCAAAAUAAAGGACAAGUGUGGCUGACGACAUUCAUGAUAAGUUGUCAUCCUGGUGAUAUGCUAUCAAGGCCACCAUCAGACUUAACCAGAGACUGAGAGUUGAAGAGAAGUUGUGACGACAUUUUGUGACAAGGCGCCAGAGUUUUGAUAAGGCGUUAGGAUCAUCGUUAGCCUUAGGCAAAAAUUAUAAAAAGGGAAGAGGAGCUGACGACAUCCAUGAUACAUCAUCAGACUCCUGACACAUAGAGGAGCUGACGACAUCCAUGAUGCAUCGUCAGACUCCUGACACAUCGUCAUUCACAUCAUCAGCCUUAAGUAGAGCUUGUCAAAAUAGAAGAAAAUCUGACGCCAUUCCUGAUAAGGCCUCAGACCCUUGAUUAGGCGUCACCUAAUGGCGUCAUCUGUCCGAGAAAUUUACUUAAGUUGUUAUUUUAUUUCCUUAACUAGACUCAAGUAUAAAUAAGAGCUUUUAGGGUUUUCUAAUGAUCAUUAACAUAUCUUGCAAUAUAUGUUAUGCAUGAUUUAUCUCUCUCGAGUUCUAAUACGCUCUAGAACAUUAUUGUUGAGAGAAGAUUGUCGUCAAUAUUUUAGGAGUUUUGUAUUAAGAUUCAGUUCAGGUUACACUUCUUGAUUUUCAUCAUCAUUGUAAGUUAAUAUGCCCAGCUAUGAAUUCAACUUAUGUACUUGUUUAUUGCAUCAUGAGUGGCUAAA
Molecule: long non-coding RNA, 9562 nt
Organism: Capsicum annuum
Lineage: Eukaryota; Viridiplantae; Streptophyta; Magnoliopsida; Solanales; Solanaceae
Exons: 3
Source: RefSeq, a predicted model, not a curated record